Molecule: ribosomal RNA, 253 nt
Filed under: uncultured bacterium
Lineage: Bacteria
Description: partial 16S ribosomal RNA
Rfam family: Bacterial small subunit ribosomal RNA
Source: RNAcentral
UACGUAGGGCGCAAGCGUUAUCCGGAAUUAUUGGGCGUAAAGAGCUCGUAGGCGGUUUGUCGCGUCUGCCGUGAAAGUCCGGGGCUCAACUCCGGAUCUGCGGUGGAUACGGGCAGACUAGAGUUCGGUAGGGGAGACUGGAAUUCCUGGUGUAGCGGUGAAAUGCGCAGAUAUCAGGAGGAACACCGGUGGCGAAGGCGGGUCUCUGGGCCGAAACUGACGCUGAGGAGCGAAAGCGUGGGGAGCAAACAGG